This 253-nucleotide ribosomal RNA is filed under the name uncultured bacterium. Its description in RNAcentral is "partial 16S ribosomal RNA". It matches the Rfam family "Bacterial small subunit ribosomal RNA", at positions 524 to 776 of the family's 1533-position model. The record is from RNAcentral.
UACAGAGGGUGCGAGCGUUAAUCGGAAUUACUGGGCGUAAAGGGCGCGUAGGUGAUUAAUUAAGUCAGAUGUGAAAUCCCUGGGCUCAACCCAGGAACUGCACCUGAAACUACCAGUCUUGAGUGGUGGAGAGGGAAGUGGAAUUCCUGGUGUAGAGGUGAAAUUCGUAGAUAUCAGGAGGAACACCAGUGGCGAAGGCGGCUUCCUGGACACCAACUGACGCUGAGACGCGAAAGCGUGGGGAGCAAACAGG